Molecule: long non-coding RNA, 840 nt
Organism: Nerophis lumbriciformis (worm pipefish)
Lineage: Eukaryota; Metazoa; Chordata; Actinopteri; Syngnathiformes; Syngnathidae
Source: RefSeq, a predicted model, not a curated record
CCGGAAGUGGGCUGCUACCGGUGAGCGCGAGAGGAACACACUGCAGGAGCCCAAUACCGGAGCCGCGGGAGUGUUUGAGAGUCAUUUAUCUGCGGAAUUGGCCAGGUUGGAUGGCGAGCUUAGAGCCCUUAACUAGAGUCUGAAGCUUUAUCCCUGGAACCGAACCACCUGAACUGAAUCCACCCAACCGAACCCCGGGCUGGUAGGAGGCUUCUCAGCAGCCGCCCUCUGUUUUUCCUUUCUUUUUGCCAAAACGCAACAAGUUCAUUGCGGUCCUCCUGAACCUUCACUUUUCCCCCGUCCCUUCACUAAAACCCCUCUGGACACUGCCACCACAACGUGGACUUUACGGGGCCUGUUAAAUGAACUAUGAAUUUGUGUUGCGCUCAUACCAUCGUUGGUAAAAAACAAGGACUAAAUCACAUAUACUGAUAUUGUAAAUAACUGAACGUUGUGUGAAUUGAUGUAUAUGUGAAUGGCCAUUUGAAUUUACAUGUUUAAUGUUGUUUGUUAUUUUUCCUAUUAUUCUUUAAUAUAAUUUGGUACCACUUAAACAUAAAUCCUGUGUUCAGUCUUUAUUACUCUCCAUUCCUAGAGCUGAGUUUAGUUUCUUCUGAUCUAGCCCAGACAUAUCAUUCACUAUUCUACUUAGUACUUGUACCGUGCUUUAUUAGAGUAACAUACAGGUUACAUUGGUGUUGGAGGAGUUGUGAAUGACUGCAGGGACACAACAUUAGAUACACCUGCAGUCUGCAGGUGUACCUAAUUCACAACUCCUCCAACACGAACAUUAUUGUUUUUGCACUUUUUGGCUUCUUAUUAAAUAACUUUUGUAACCUA